Molecule: small RNA, 113 nt
Filed under: Erwinia mallotivora
Lineage: Bacteria; Pseudomonadati; Pseudomonadota; Gammaproteobacteria; Enterobacterales; Erwiniaceae
Description: Fumarate/nitrate reductase regulator sRNA
Rfam family: Fumarate/nitrate reductase regulator sRNA
Source: Rfam by way of RNAcentral
GCAGGUGAAUGCAACGUCAAGCGAUGGGCGUUGCGCUCCAUAUUGUCUUACUUCCUUUUUUGAAUUACUGCAUAGCACAUUUGAUUCGCACAAGCCGGUUAUUACCGGCUUUU